This 728-nucleotide long non-coding RNA is filed under the name Homo sapiens (human). RNAcentral's name for it is "SCN1A and SCN9A antisense RNA 1". The record is from RNAcentral. Lineage: Eukaryota; Metazoa; Chordata; Mammalia; Primates; Hominidae.
AGAGCAAGAAGUAUUGGCAGCAGCAGGCAGCCAGGCAGGCUGGGAGUUUGCAUGGAAAUCAUGAAGUCUUUCUUGUCUUCCUCUUUUGAAAUAUUUUGGAAGGCGAGUUAAGAAUAGCUCAGAAACUGGUCUCAUUCUUUUUGUGGGAAGAAUGACCAGAAGCAUAAAAGCUAAGUCUUCCAGCAAGUGCAAGACACCUCUUUUGGUGUUUGCAGUAAACCUAACAAGAAUGAAUUGCUAUCAGUAAAGUCCUGUACCAUGACACCUAAAAGGAAGGAAAUGGUAAAGCAAAGUAAUAACUCAAAGACAGUCACCGAGGGCUUUUGUCCACCUUUAACUCAUUGUGGCAAAGUUGGACAUUCCAAAGAUGGCGUAGAUGAACAUGACCAGGAAGAGCAGGAGGCCGAUGUUAAACAACGCAGGAAGGGACAUCAUCAAAGCAAAGAGCAGCGUGCGGAUCCCCUUUGCUCCUUUGACUAGACGUAGGAUUCGGCCAAUCCUGGCAAGACGGAUCACUCGGAACAGGGUAGCAGAGAUCUCUGGAGGUGAAACAUUGCUCUGAACUGGCAUUGAUUCUAGCCCAGCUCUUGUAGACCAAUUACCAACUUCUCCAUCUCCCUCCAGUGCCUGGAACUGGACCUGGCACACAGGCCUCUGGCUCAUCGGAAUUCAUAGGUUCAGCCUCUGCUUCUUCUCCUUCUCCAGGCAAAGGGUUAUCAACUGUGCUG